RNAcentral lists this transfer RNA (78 nucleotides) under Sulfobacillus thermosulfidooxidans. RNAcentral describes it as "tRNA-Val". It matches the Rfam family "tRNA". From Rfam's summary of the family: Transfer RNA (tRNA) molecules are approximately 80 nucleotides in length. The record is from RNAcentral. RNAcentral also lists the same sequence under 11 other names. Lineage: Bacteria; Bacillati; Bacillota; Clostridia; Eubacteriales; Clostridiales Family XVII. Incertae Sedis.
GGGUGGUUAGCUCAGUUGGUUAGAGCGCUCGCUUGACAUGCGAGAGGUUCACAGGUUCGAGUCCUGUACCGCCCACCA